This 486-nucleotide ribosomal RNA is filed under the name uncultured Oxalobacteraceae bacterium. RNAcentral describes it as "partial 16S ribosomal RNA". The record is from RNAcentral. Lineage: Bacteria; Pseudomonadati; Pseudomonadota; Betaproteobacteria; Burkholderiales; Oxalobacteraceae.
CACGUAGUUAGCCGGUGCUUAUUCUUCAGGUACCGUCAUUAGCAGGCUAUGUUAGAGCCCGCCGUUUCUUCCCUGACAAAAGAGCUUUACAACCCGAAGGCCUUCUUCACUCACGCGGCAUUGCUGGAUCAGGCUUGCGCCCAUUGUCCAAAAUUCCCCACUGCUGCCUCCCGUAGGAGUCUGGACCGUGUCUCAGUUCCAGUGUGGCUGGUCGUCCUCUCAGACCAGCUACUGAUCGUCGCCUUGGUAGGCUUUUACCCUACCAACUAGCUAAUCAGAUAUCGGCCGCUCCAAUAGCGCGAGGUCUUGCGAUCCCCCGCUUCCAUCCGUAGAUCGUAUGCGGUAUUAAUCCGGCUUUCGCCGGGCUAUCCCCCGACUACUGGGCACGUUCCGAUAUAUUACUCACCCGUUCGCCACUCGCCACCAGGAGCAAGCUCCCGUGCUGCCGUUCGACUUGCAUGUGUAAGGCAUGCCGCCAGCGUUCAA